This 158-nucleotide non-coding RNA is filed under the name Platyophrya macrostoma. The record is from RNAcentral. Lineage: Eukaryota; Ciliophora; Colpodea; Cyrtolophosidida; Platyophryidae.
CAUGCAAAAAAAAAAAAAAAGAGUGCCGUUUCUGUGUGAAGAAUAUUGAAACGACAUCCAAACGAGGGCAUCAGAGGGCGUUGCAUAUGGAUGUGUGGUCUGAGUGUAUUUCCCCCUUUUUUGCUUUUUUUUUGUUUCCGUCGUGAUGAUGCUGAUUG